Molecule: non-coding RNA, 418 nt
Organism: Pogona vitticeps (central bearded dragon)
Lineage: Eukaryota; Metazoa; Chordata; Lepidosauria; Squamata; Agamidae
Source: RefSeq, a predicted model, not a curated record
AUGACUUUCUAUUUUUGUUUGUAUCCUCAUGGUUGUUUUCCGAAAACUGAGGGAGUGAAGUAAAGGCUCAGUGACAAGCUCGGUGCUCUCACGUCAGCAGGAAAAUAAAGAGCCAGACUUCCUGGCCGUGAAAAGAGCUGCCAGAGAGAAUGACAACCUUUCAUAGUUGCUCCACAAAUCUCUUCUCUGCAAGAAAGUGCUUCGGAGAAUUACACCUGCCGUGUUCUUCUGUGACUUCCUAAUAUUACCUUAGGCAACAGCGUCCCAAGCUACAUUUCAGAGGGCACUCAGUUUAAUAGGGCGGAGGAAUGCCCCCCCUUCCUCUUCUCUUGCAAAAACUCUGUAUUUUCUAUUUCUAAUCCCUCCAGUUUACCUGAGGAGUACGAGUGUAUCAACGGUACUGAGAGUUACAGUGAUU